This 10493-nucleotide long non-coding RNA is filed under the name Pelobates cultripes (western spadefoot toad). The record is from RNAcentral. Lineage: Eukaryota; Metazoa; Chordata; Amphibia; Anura; Pelobatidae.
GGAGAUUGGAGCAGGAAGGACAAAUUAAGUGAACCCUCCACUUUAUUCUGGACACCACAUCAUAAGGCUCUGGUACCUGGGCCAGGCAGGGAAACACUGGACCUUCUCAUCUCCAAAGGUAAAAAAAUAUCAGUGUUAAUGUGUUCACUUCAGGAAGCACAGAGUGCCGUUGGGUAGGGGUGUUGCUGAUUGGCUAGAGCGGUCAGCUGGCACUCUAAGCCAAUCAGUAGCUUCCCAUUCAUAAAAAAGUUAAAAUAUUUUAUGAACCGGGAACUAGCGAUUGGCUUAGAGCGUCAACUGUCCACUCUAGCCAAUCAGCGGCACCCAUGCCUGACGUCAAUCUGCAAAUACCACUGAGCGACCUGGAGCUGGAGGAAGCCUUUGGGGUUAAACCAUUUGAGAGCGAUUUAACCCCUUAAAGGAAAGCGAGCACCCAGGGGCUUCCUGGCAUCAUAGCAUUUUCAUUUAGGUGAAGUUGUUAUGGUGACCAGAAUGAUACUUUAAUUUGCUUAAAAGAACACCAUAGUGUCAGGAAUACAAACAUAUAUUCCUGACACCAUAGUUGUGAAAACGCUAUUCACCCUGGCUUUAUGUGAUAAUGGCUAUGCCCCUUCCCUUUCAUGACACUGUCAAAAAGGUACCAAGCAUGGAUGUCAUUACAAUUAUGCCCCCCCUGGAAAAAUUCCUGCGGACGCCCAUGCCCAUCUCCCUCCCUCCCCCCUUUGCCUGUGUCUCAUCCCAUCUCCCUCCCCCCUUUCCCUGUGUCUCUCCCCAUCUCUCUCCCUCCCCCUUUCCCUGUGUCUCUCUCCUCCUCCCCAUCUCUCUCCCUCCCCCCUUUCCCUGUAUCUCUCCCGAUCUCUCUCCCUCCCCCCCUUUCCCUGUGUCACUCCUCCCCAUCUCCUCCCUCCCCCUUCCCCUGUAGUGUCUCUCCCCCAUCUCUCCUCCCUCCCCUGUAUUCUCCCGACCUUCCCUCCCCCUUCCUGUGUCUUUCCCUCCCUCCCAUCUCCUCCCUCCCCUUUUCCCUGUGUCUCUCCCCAUCUCUCCCUCCCCCUUUCCUGCGUCUCCCUCCUCCCCUCUGUUCCCCUUUACCUGGAGAAGUCAGGGGCAGGCCGCUCCUCAUUGAGCCGCCGCGUCAAGUGGUAGCUUCCCGUCCCGCGGCCCGGCUCCUGUCACUGCUGUGGCUGAUGGAGGAGGAGCAUGUCUCUGUACCAUGCUCCCUCGCGGUUCCUGUGCUCCUCCUCCAACAGCCACAGCAGUGACAGGAGCAGGGCCGCCGGACCGGGGAAGCUGCCACCCGGCCUGGCGGCUCCAGCCAGGAAUGCGGCCGGCCCCCAGGUGCCGCGGCCCACCGGGAAAUCCCGGUGGGCCAGUCCGGCCCUGGUGGUCACGGGCAGAGCGGAGGGAACGAGGAGGGGUAUACCUAUGGAUCUGUGAAGAGAUAUAAGAGGGGCUAGAAUUGUAUGGGUUAUGGAAAAAAAAAACACUUUCUGCCCCCAAAUAAAUGGUAUAACGCUACUUUAUUCACCCAAUGUGGUCAGCGCACUUGAUAGCACUUUAUUAUAUAGACUAUAGGGUUAAUUGCUCCUCUCAUAAAACACACUAGAACUGGGGUGGGCAAUCCACAUGUUGUGGACUGCAUAUUCCUAGAUGCUUUGCCAGCAUUAUGGGUGUAAUAGCACUAUGGGGGAUGUAGUCCACAACAUCUGGAGUGCUGAAGGUUGCCAACCUCUGCCCACACCAUAACAGCUUAAUAUCCAGCUUAAAUUAAAUAUUCAAGAACAUCCUCUUAAUAUGUGCAAUUAAUGAUGCCAACAAUUACCGGGGAUGUUGCUUAGGAGAUAUAUAUUCCAUGGUGUCUGGCUCCUGUGUAGACCACUUUCUCCUGCAAACAACAUGGAUGACCAAACACAUUACUCUAAUGGCUGCUGAGGAAGCAUCUACUAAAGACGGUAAACAUGUCCAGAUUUAGUUUUCAUGAAUGUAGGUUUUCUUUCCCCCUCCAUGUUAUUUUUAUCUUGAAUUGAAAAAGAUUUUAACUUUUCAAACAUCGUGACCACUUCAGUGAUUAGAGGACAAAAGGGCUAGGGCAUAAUACUGUGCAUGUAUUUGGAGGUUGCUUGUGGGAUUGCGUGUGUGUAGGGCAGGGCCGCCAUCAGGGGGUGACGUGGAGCGGCGGAACUGCCGCUGGUGCAUCUGCACUGGGCCCCACACGCUGAUGGGGCCAAUCAGGUGACCCAAUGGGUCGUAUUAUCUUCAGGGGCCCAGUCAGCGCUGUAAUAGCACGACCUGGCCCCUUUAAAAAAAAAAAUGCAGUCGCAACGCAAGUGCUGCUGGGAGGAAGUGACAGCCGGCCACUUCCUCCCAGCUUACUCCGCGCUUGAAGGAGGACGCAGCCUGAAGGCCAAGAGGAGAGGCAGCCGACGCCCAUCAUCCCCAGCCACCCUCCUGCAAUGCAAAGGUAAGGAAGACGAGGGUGGCUGAAAAAUGAAUUGUAUGUUUGUAUGCAUGUAUGUGUAUGUAUGUAUGUAUGUAUGCCAGUAUGUGUCUGUCAGUAUGUAUGUAUAUAUCAGUAUUUAUGUAUGUCUGUCAGUAUGUAUGUCUGCAUGUAUAUGUUUGUGUGUGUCUGUCAGUAUGUGUGUAUGUCAGUGUGUGUGUGUGUGUGUAUCUCCUUAUGCAUGUGUGUGUGUGUAUCUGUAUCUCCUUAUGCAUGUGUGUUUGUAUCUGUAUCUCCUUAUGCAUGUGUGUGUGUCUCAGUAUGUGUGUGUCAGUAUGCCUGUAUGUGUGUAUGUCUGUUUCAGUAUUUGUAUCUGUUAGUAUGUGUGUAUCUUUCUGUUUUGUGUCUGUGUGUGUAUUCCUGUGGGCGGGAUUUUGAGGCGGGCCCCCGGGAGCCCAGACUUUGAGCUGUGUUAGGGCCCCCAAAAUUUUUGAUGGCGGCCCGGGUGUAGGGUGAGUUGUUUGUGGUGUGGUGUUUUGUGUAAAUAGGUCGGUUUGUGUUGUGUUGUGUUUGUUAUGUAGUACGUGUGGUUAGGGGCUGUAGAGAGUGUGUGUGUAGUUAUGUAGUGUGUAUAGUGGCAUAAUGUGUGUAUAAGGGAUUUAGUGAGUAUGUGUAUAGGGGCUAUAUUGUGUAUAGUGGUAUGGAGAUAACCCUCAGUCUGCACCUGGUAUAUCCUGCUGUAAGGUGCAGUGUGCCGGGUUCAUGAGAGGACCCUCAGCCCCCACGGGACCCAGGGAACGGGGGACACUACUAAAGCGGGCUAUUGUGAUUAUGAUGUUUAGAGUAACCCUUUCAUUUACAAAUCAGUUCCAAGUUUAUUUGUUAAAACUGGGGACAAUUAAUAAGGGAAAGGGGUUUUGUUCCUUGUUUGGUUCUUAGCAAGUGGAGACACAGGUUACAACAGACCUGAGCGAACAUCACUUCUUUACUUGGGAGAAAUAUGCCUGCUGUCUCCUUUAUCAUAACAACCAUACUGUGUGACUUCCAGCACUGAUGUAACUGUUUUACUCUGGAACAGAGAGCGAGCGUAAAUAACAUCUGGCCACAUGGACAGCGUCUGUCACUUGGUUAAGCACACAUACAUCCACUAGUGGGAGUGUCAGAACUGCCGGAGUUUAUUUAACACUACAGGACCAGAUACAGAUUAGAGGCUUAACAGAGUAUCAAAAGACAGAACAUCCGAGACAUCCACAGCAGAGCAGAUCCAAAGGAAGAGGACUAUAAAGACAUUUUAUUGCUUCGUCUAGAUAUAAAUAUAGAAUACCAGUUUGGGCUGCACUUAUAACAAGAAUACUUUGUAAUCCUUCUUAGUUUUUGCAGAACGGACAUCAUCUGCGGCUGUCCUGGUCAAAGUGACCAUGAAUUCUUCAAGAAGGUAAGAAGCAGGAGCACUAUCCUGUCCGAAAAAUACCGAAUUCUCUUUCUGUGAUACAUUUGUAAAUACCAAGGAUGGAUUAAAGGUAGAUCCCCAGGUGUUGCAGAACUACAGGUCCCAUGGUGCUUUGCCAGCCCAAAGGCUACUAGAUCAUUGGGUCCUAUUUUCUUUUUUUUUGCUAGUGGCAAAAAAUGAUACAGUAACAUAAUGAUCCAUUCUCUAAAUGUAAAAUUCUGUCCACGAGUGAAUUGUCAGUUGCUGUGAUACUGUACACAGCACACCACAUUCAUUAGACAGAUUCCAGAGUUGCGUGGGUCUACACAGCCAAUAAGAACCCAUUACAGGCAGCAAUGGGGAAUCAAUUUUGGGACAAGGGAUUAAAAAACACUGAACUAGAUGCUACACGAUAAGCAGCGUUCCACAUAUUUUACUUUAUGAGAGAGACAUACGCAGUUAAUAACAGAGGUUUUUCCUUGCAGCCUUUUAGAAACAGAGCAACCACGUGCCUAUUCUGUCUGUAGAGAGCAAGACGCACUCUUCUUAUAAUACACUAGAAUAGUCAGGUUUUUAUGAUUAAGUGUAAUAUUUUUUAUGUUAAUAUAAAUGAGGCCAUUUGAUGGACUGAAAAGGACAAGAAAGAGAGCACCAGUUUAAUCAGGCAUUUUAAUAUAUUGGAAGCUGCAGAAAUGAACAAGAUAAUUGGAGAAACUACGGUAAUUAAACAAGGAAUCUUUUAGAACCCUUAUUUCAAAUUAAAAAUAUUAAAGUCACAUUGUGAGGUCAUAACAUGCUAGUCCCACCACUACUUUAAAGGAAAACUAAAGGGCUUUAUGUUAGAAGAGUGUUUGUACUCUUUUAUUUCAUUUACAAAAAUUGGUCCUGCUACUUCCUGGUUUGGUUAGCUCAGUGGAGAUAAACUCAAUUCAAGCACUUCCCCAGAGCACCUGCCUUGCAAAGACUUCUCAUUAAGCUGCAUUGGAAAGUCUGUGAUUGGACAGCCACAGAAAGUUUAGGCAGGGGAAGAAGGGGAGGGUUUGCAAAGACUGCAGACAAGAGAUCUGAAGCUUUUGCAAGCUGUUUUUAGAUAUACCCUCAAUUUAAAAAUGCAUAAAGACAUGCAAGUUUUCAAUGGACAAAUAUAUACUAAAAUAGUGAUUUAUUUUAUUUUUGUAUUUGGGCCGUGGAGUGUCCCUUUUAAGUAGCCCUGUGUUUGGUGGGUCUAAAUCUAUUUUUGAUACGUGCAUGUGAAAUAUAUAAUUAAAUGUAUCACAAGUAGGGCAGGGCCUGACCGCAGAGCCGAGCAGUCGCAAGACACCACAGCUCCUGCUCAUUUCUUGUGAUUUUCACAAAUUUUCUGCUAAAAGAUGACAACACUAGCUAUAAGUCAGCUACUGAGUGACAAGGGACAUCGUGGUGCCCACAAGGAUACCUUUCAUGCUGAUGAUUUCGGAUGAUAUGCCCAACUGCUCUCUGCGGCCUACAAGCAUGACUGAGGAGGCGCCCGCUCUCCCGCUCCCGCCGAUCGCCGCGAACUUCAAUCUGAGUACCUGUUCCCCCCAAUUUCCUGGAGCUUAUGCUUGUUAGCACGGGGAACAACACCUGCUAACAAGCAUAAGGACCCACCACCAUAUCCACAGAUGGGGAUUGUUCCAUCUACGCGCACAAGUCUAGAGCUGAACAUAAGCCCCAAAACUGUAAGUGCAAUCUGUUUCUUUCAUGUAUAAUCAGAAUUAAUAACAUACUACACUAUAUUAUGUUCUCUUUGCUUAUUUCACAUACCACCUUGGAAUUAAGAACAACACUACAGGUGCUGCCUCCCUGCACCUUUCUUUGCAUAUCAACUGACGUAUACUGUUAGAGCAUGUUUAAUAUAAUUCAGAUGCGCAGUUAUAAUGUGCCGUAACCCUGUUUAUGAUGAAAUGCUUACCCUUGUCGUUGUGGCAAUGUAAGCAUGUUUGUUAAUCUCACAUUGUGGGCCUCAUUGGACAGAAGUUCAUUUCUAAAUUAUUAGAGUAAAGGGGAAAGUCUCUGGGUAGUGGGUACUAGUGAGAGCCCCAGUUUUUUUUUACACUGCUCCCUAACUGUCUGACAAAGACUGGGGGCCACUGCCUGUACAUUUAAUGUACCAUAACCACUGAUAAGCUGUCUUGAUUAUGCCGCUUAGAGUGUUCCUUUAAAACCUUACUGUGACAUUAGUUCACAGAACCUCUGAGACAUUAAAUGUUAAUCUAGGCCAGGCUAUGCAAUGCCAAGAUUGCAAUGGAUAUCAACGGUCGUGAUAUGCUGGUGGGCUAGACUUAGCUACAGGUAAACAAAGUAAUUAAUUGUCCAUAUGUUUUAUCUGAGAGAGGGAUUUUCAAACACUUCUGGAAGGUUUGCCGCCUGUGUGCACUGGUUGAAUUUGGUUGUGUUUCACAUGUUGCUGGAGAGAAUAAAUUAACCAAUGAAAAUAAUAAUAACUAACAGUUAACCCUUUGCGUGCCAGAGGGGUAUAGUUGGCUAAUGGGUUAAAAGACAGACUUGCAAAAUCUCCCAGCCAUGGUAUAGAAGAGAAGUCUAUUAGGCUGGAAAUCAGAUCAGAAUAUUGAAUAAACUCUAGCAAUUAGCUGUUGUAUAUAAAAUGUCAAUAAUGCUGCUCCAGUCUCUUGCCUUUAUAUAUGCAUCUAAAAUGUGUCCAUUCAAUUUCCCAUGCACUGUGCAUUAGACAGACAGCAAAUAUUCUUUAACAUUUUAACAUCAUUUGGACAUUUUGUUUGUUGGGAGGUUUGUGGUUUAGAAAAUAUGUUGUGUAGUAAAUGGUUGUUUCAUUUGAUUUUUGUCACUCAUUAAACACAGCUGCAUCAACAGCAAAAAACAUGUGAGGAAGGCUGAACUUGAUGGACGCAAGUCUCUUUUCAGCUAUGUAACUAUGUAACUAUGUAAUAUUUGAUGGUAUAUAAAUAUUGCAACAGUCUCUUUUUCACGAUGUGACUCUGACCACUCGGAGCUAUGCUGAUUUCUGGGAAUUAUAGGGGCAAUUAUUAGUUUAAAGACUAUUGCUGAUAUCAAGGGUUUAUGUCUCUAUAAAUAGAGGGAUAACCAUCUACUUAGGAAAUUGAAAAUGUCUUGCAAGCUAAGUUCAUCUGAAAACAAACGUUAUAAACAAUGACUUCGAAUGCGACUCCUACAAUUAAAGAAUUGCCAGCAGUUGGUAGAUCUGACCUCCUAAUAUGGAUAUAAUUCCCCUGCUGGCAGCGGGAUGAACUGGUCUUUUACCAAACGAUUUAUCACUGUGAAGAUACUUCUAACACAAACAGAGAUACAUACCAGGGCACGAUACAUAUUGUGUUCACAUGCAGCAAUAAAAGGAAAUGAAUAAACAGAUAAUUGUUUAGAACACAAAAUGUUAAAGGAACAUUCCCCCUCUUCUGCCCCCCCAUGGCAAAUUAAACACAUAGAUUCCAGCAGCAUUAUCCCUCAGCACUGGGUUCCUCUCCACCUCCGCCAACGUAAGCUGAUCGGUCAGAUACAAUGUGCAUGCGGCAUGCGGCAUUGAAUCAAUGCUUUCCUAUGGGGAUUUUCUAGAGACUAGACAUCAAACUCCAUAAAACUGCAGGAAGCGCCUCUAGUGGCUGCUAGAUGCAGUCUUAACACUGCAAUGUAAACAUUCUCUUUUUUUUAUAUUUUAUUUUAUUUUAUAUAUUUUAUCAUAGUAAGCAGUUCACUCUUUGUAAUGUGGAAGUCAAAGUAUGAAAGAGAAGCUAUUUCUCAUCAAGUAAAGCAGAACUUGCUUAUAAUAAAUUUCUGUUAUAUAUAUGUAUAUAUAUAUAUAUCUCCAUGAUGAGGCAUUUUAUCAUAGCAUAUUUGCAGGGUUAUUUACUAACAUGAAAAUUUAAUGUGAAUUUCAAACUUAAAGAGAAACUUUAGUGCCCGGAAUCAAAGUUGUUUUCCUGGCACUAUAGCUCCCCAUAGCUUCCCCUUGUUUAGGUCCAUGGCCUCACCUCCAUGGCUUAGAUUAUGAUGAAUAAAUCAUUGGGUGGCUACUGUGCAUGUUUGGAAAAACCCUGCGCAAAUAAGCAUCUCCAGAUAAUUUGAAUUAAUAUGUCUCCAUGGGGAGCAUUCAGUGUCUCCAUGCAGAGCAAAGUAGAUGCUGCAUUGUGUGCAGCACUGAGAUAGGAAGCGCCUCAAGUAACCAUCUGAGUGAUGGCCACUGGAGGUGUUCUUAGGUAGUAAUGUAAACACUGACUUUUUUAUGAAAAGGCAAUGCUUGCAUUGAAAAGCGUGCAGGGACAGGCUGAGCACCAGAACAACAACAUUAAAGUAACAAAUUAUCCCUAUAAAUAUUAAAUUCACUUUGUAUUCACUUUGAAUUCUUGCUUUAGUAAACCCUGGAGGAAUUCACUAAACUCUGAGUUUUCGCAAAUUAAAUAAAAAAAACUGAGGUGGAGAAUUUUUAAAGAUCAUCUAUUUUUGCCUCGGUUUUUUCAUUUAGAUUUAACAUCCAAAAAUGCAAAUUUAAGCAAAUAACCCUGUAUAGUGAUAUCAAUUAGACCUUCCCAGGGAAAUUUACUCCACGGGUCCUUGGUAACUGGGUUCACCCAUGAAUCUUUUUACAUAACUGUAAUGAGAUGAUGCCAGCAGAUAUAAAGACUUGUAAAUACUGAAAUAUGGCAGAUAUUUCAUUAAACUGUGAAUAUGGGCCCUCAACUUGUUCCUAUGCGUCCAUUGGUCUGGUUAAAGUUACGUGUCUGUUAGUCCACCCAUUGUACAGCGCUAUGGAAAUGUGCUGGCGCUAUAUAAAUAAUAAAAUAAUAAUAAUAAUAUAAACUGUGUUUUAACUGUAAUUAAGUCACAUAUUUUGGCUAAAACUUCCAAGUUUGCCAAUUCACAUCUUACUGAACAAAUCCCUUUGUUAUAAUCCAAAUUAUUAAUAAAGACGAAAUCACAUUCAUUGCUCCUCGUUUCUCCCCUAAUUUCUUCCCCCACCAAUCUCUAUUGUAAUUAAAUUUCAUGACAUUAUUUGAAUCACCCCAUCUCACUCUCCUAGUCUUUCCCAAUCUUUAUUUACUUACCACCAUUUCUAUGCAGCUUGCAACAUUUCCCCAAUAUCUCAAGCACUAUCCUGGCAAACUCCCUAAAAGUAUUUUUUUUUAAAAGAAAUUCUUCCAGUAGUUUCUCAGUGCCUCCCCUCUCUAUUCUCUCUUUCACCAAGUCUUUUAAUCCUCAAAUAUCACCAGUGUUUUAGUCCUUUUCGCUCUAGUUUCUAAUUUCUUCAUCUGAUCUCAUCAUCUCAUUCCAGUCUUACAAUCUACUUGAGGUCUCUUAAACAUCCUCAGUAGAAGGCCCCAGGUUCCCUCCGAUUAAUCUGCGAACCCCACCAGUCUUUUAAUUUGCCUCCACUCUUUAGAGCUUCCCCAAGUCUCUCCAACCGCCAGUCUUUCCCUCCAGUCCCUCAAUAUUAUCUCUGAUCUUGCAGACUCCGUCCUUCCAAUCUCUCAGUAUACAUUUCAUAUAAUCUCUUACUUGCUCCAGUAUCUGCAUCCUCAUCCAUCCAGCCUUUCAAUCACCUCCUUCCAGUCUCUCAAUACCCCCAUGGUGUUAAGCUUACUCUCAAUUUCUAAAUCCACCUCCAGUCUAUAAUUUCCUCUUCCAUUUUCUCCAUUUGCCAUCCUGUCUUGUAUUCACCUUAUAUUGUCUUUCCUAUCAGUCUCUCAAUCCCCAUCUCUGAAGCGCCACCUAUUUCUAGAUCUUCCAAUCUUUGAAUCCCCUUUAACUCUUCAACACAUUGCUCCUAAUGGGAAGUCCCAAAGCUGUCUCAUAAACUCUCUGUGUGUAUUGACUUCACAUCAACUGCUGAUUGCACAACUGUGCCAAGGGCUUCCAAAAACAAUUUUUUUUAUUUGCAUUCUAUUUAAUUAUCUAAAGCACUAUUCACUUAGUGAAUCUACAAUAUUGUAAUAUACAUUCUAUCUCUUUCUAGGAUCCAUUCCCUCCGUGCCCACCGACAGAGGACUCCUUCAACCAGCAUGGAGAGCUGGCAAAAGCAGUAUUGUAGAUGUGCAGAACAGUGGUGCGUUGAUGAACUGGCUACAUACUUACUCAUCACCAUGAUUGUUUUAAUAGCUCUAUGGGGCGCAUGGGCAAAAAAAGACGAGUAUUUGUAGUUACUCCGCUAAUUCAAAACUCUCGAAAGACACUUUGUGCGUACUCCACAAUGCAACUGCGGAAAGAGAACCGAGAGAUUCAUUUUCUCUUGAAUUUGAUCGAUGGUUGAAAAAAAAUAUCCUCAAUUUAUCCUUCAAAGUUUUAUUUGAAGAAUUUGUGUUUCACAGCUCACAUGCUUAAGGACAGAGAAGCCUCAGUAAUUCUUUGGAAGAACUGAUGGAACUUUUACGAUUUGUUCCCUGGACACUGUCUGCCAGUUUGACAUCCGCUCCAUUCCCACUCCCAUUAUGCACAAUUGUUUUAUGGAACAUUUCAGAAGAUGUGUAUACAUUCACAGUUAGAUGCAAGCUGACUUCAUAAUAGUGGGCUCUUGUAUUGACUCGACUUAAAAUGUUCUUUAAACCAAAUCAGGCACAAUUUUUGUUGAAAGAAAACCUUGGUUUACAUUGUAUCAACUAAAAUCUAAAGUAGAUAAAAAAA